This 34-nucleotide transfer RNA is filed under the name Cetoscarus bicolor (bicolor parrotfish). RNAcentral describes it as "partial tRNA-Val". Lineage: Eukaryota; Metazoa; Chordata; Actinopteri; Labriformes; Labridae. The record is from RNAcentral.
GAGAAAGCAUCUGUGAAAACCAGGUUACCCUGAU